CAGCUGAGCUUGAGGGGGCCAAGAUGGCGGGUUCUUCCCCGUCAGCCUUUCACUGCAGCAGGGGUGAGCCUAGCAGGUGUUCGAAUCACAUCCGCGGAUUGGUACAUGGCACUGCUGUUCCCCUUAAGAAAACCCCAGGCCCCACCAGCAGAGCAGCAGAGCAGCAGAGUGGCAGAGUGGCAGAGAAGGAGAGAAGCAGCAGCCAGAUGUUGGAGAGAAGCAGCUUGACUUCAGAGGGACAACUUGGUAGCGGGACCUCGGAGAAGAGUUUGGCCAGGGAUGCCCAAACUCCAGGGGAAGACCACCUUCCCACUCCAUCCCCUUUCCAGCUCCCCAUUCCAUUGAGAGCCACUUCCACCACUAAAUAAAAUCCUCCACAUUCACCAACCUCAAA
Molecule: long non-coding RNA, 394 nt
Filed under: Homo sapiens (human)
Lineage: Eukaryota; Metazoa; Chordata; Mammalia; Primates; Hominidae
Description: HSALNT0308434
Source: RNAcentral